CACUGCUGCCCAUCUGCAAACCUGGCGGUGCAGCUGGAAAAGAGCUGCUGGGAGCGGUUUGAGAGGAUGUCUGGGAGGUAUUUAUAAAACCUUUAUUAUGUAGAAACUGCUGCUGAAAAAGCUAUGAAAACAUACUUCCAAGAACAGGAGGGCAAAAAUCAGAGUGCAAAAAAAAACCCAAGUGCACAGCACACAGGCCGGUAGGGAAGGCUGACUGAGGUAGGAGGACUGAGAGAUCAAGUACAGACUGGACUCAAGGGUGUUUCAAGGCAUGGGAAGACCCGGCUUCAAAAUGCAUGACAGAGCACAGAGCAGCGCUCCUCCAAUUGGGGGCUC
Long non-coding RNA from Fukomys damarensis (Damara mole-rat), 336 nucleotides. RefSeq lists it as uncharacterized. Lineage: Eukaryota; Metazoa; Chordata; Mammalia; Rodentia; Bathyergidae. The transcript has 3 exons. The record is from RefSeq and is a predicted model, not a curated record.